Long non-coding RNA from Fukomys damarensis (Damara mole-rat), 2037 nucleotides. The record is from Ensembl. Lineage: Eukaryota; Metazoa; Chordata; Mammalia; Rodentia; Bathyergidae.
GGUUAUAGGACUGGGCUGCAUGAGUUCAAUAUACAGAGGACAAAGCCCAGAGGGGUUUUGGUUUUGAUCUGUAGACUGCAGAGUUCUUACUUGUACUUCCUGCCAGAGCAGGAACCGGGCCCACAAAUGCCCCUAGGGAGAGAUGCAGAAAGUGGCUGGGAGAAAGAGGCUGAUACUUUGGAAAACCAACAGGGAAGCUGUAGUGGCUACAGAUGAAUGGUGACAGUGAGAACACCGGUAAUCAGCACAGCGCACCUCCUCUGCCAUCCUGUGUUGGGAACAAAAGCUUGAACUAGAACAUGGCCCAGGGCCUUGUGAGUCGUCUGUCUGGGGCUUCCAUAGGCCUCAGGGGAAGCAGAUCAUCACCGUGAAGGAUCUAUUUCUUGACUAUAGGUCUGUGUAUCCACCCCUUUCAGAUAUCAGUUGGAUGACUGUCUUUUCAGCAUGAGUUCUAGACAUAAACAUGCCCUGCUUUGAGCACAAACCCACUGCCCCCAUUCCAGUUUUUUGGGUUUUCCAAAAAUGAUGACCAUGUAAUGACUCUUCAUCUGUUCUCUUGCCUGGAUCUGAUUUGGAGAUACUUUGAGGGGUGACUGUGGCUUUGCAACUGAGCUUUUUUUCUUUUUUCUUUGGGAAGUUAACUGUCCCAACCAUUGUGGUUGCCUAGCAACAAGGGAUGGCCAAGGAUUCUAAAACUCUAAGGACCGAGGGUAGUUAAGGUCUGUCCAAAGGACACGAGUUCCCAGUGGGCCUAACUAGAGAUGGGAGAAUGUUACAGCAUUAACUCUGUAGUCCCAAAUUCUGAAAACACAGAGAGCUACAGCAUGCAGUCUGCAAAUUCAGAGUCAGAUGUACAACCCAACAAUGAAGCACUGUUUUCAGCCUCUGAAAGAACAAAAUCAAAACUUCUUGAGCAAGUUUACUGGAUGGAGGACAAACUAGAAGCUGUGGACGUUAAGGAAGCCAGUAGGGAAUUAUAUGAAAAAAUAAUUCUAAUAAAAGACCAGUGCAUUGAGAAGCUGCAAGCUGAAAUAAAAGCUUCCCAGAAACAACUUAAAGUCCAUGAACUAAAGCACAAAAAGAGACUGAAAAAGCUACAAAUUGAUUUGGCAGCAACAAAGCAAGAGGCUGCCAUCAUGGCGCUGGAACUCAAUGAAAAGAUAAAGACGCUCUGUGAAAAAGAGUCAGCCCCCAGAGAAUUAUUACAUGUAUCCAUUCUUUAAACACUCUUCGGUGCUUGUAGAGAGUUAAACAAGAAAAAAGUCCUCACUGCACUUCAGUGAAGGGAGAAGAAAAACGUAUAAAGAAAGGCAAUAGUAGAGAAAUAAAAUCUACACAAAAUGAGUGAAAAUUAAAGUGUGAUGCUUACGGCCCCUUCCACAUGCAAGUGGGAAUUUCUACCAAGGUCCUCUGCUCUGUACCUGCAGGGUUCACACCUGCUUCUUCUACAUGGCUUCUUAAUCUUUAGCCCCAGUCUGCUCCCUUUGUCUCUGAUUCUUCUCCGAGGAAGUCAUUUGUAACUCUCUGCAUCACCAAUACCUGUGGUCAUCCCCUGAGUUCUAUGUCCACGACCUUGUGCACACCACUCACAAGACCCAUUAUAACAGCUCCUGGCCUGUCUGUCUUUACUGUGAGACUGUAGGCUUCUUGAAGAGAAACAGAGAUGCUUUAUUUUUAUUUGUUAGUUCAGCACAGUGCCUAAAGCUUGCGGUCACGAAACAGUGGAUGAACAGAUAUUCAAUGAAACUUAGUGAGAGUAUUUCUUUGGGUACUAUUGCUUAAUACAUUUAUCAAUUAUGAAGUGUUGGGGGGAGUUUGCUUAUAAAAUUUAAAGUGACCCAAGUUGCGGACUUCAGACUAAACAGUCAGAUUGCCAAUGAUGUCCAUGGAAUCACUGAAUGGUACAAUUUUUGGAUCCCAGAUUUAAGACCAUCAAAGACUGAGAAUACUUUGAAAUAUUAUUGAUUCUUUUAUACUAUAUUGCAAUAUACUAUUUUGAAUAAUGUCCAACUAUAUUAUUUUAUGACUUUUUGCUUU